Silurus meridionalis is the source of this 2488-nucleotide long non-coding RNA. RefSeq lists it as uncharacterized. The record is from RefSeq and is a predicted model, not a curated record. The transcript has 5 exons. NCBI's taxonomy places the organism in Eukaryota, Metazoa, Chordata, Actinopteri, Siluriformes, Siluridae.
UCUAUGAAGAUAUGGGUUGAAGUGGAAGAUCUUGAGUGGCCUGCUAUAAAGUUUUGACCUCAACCUUUAUGAACACCUUUAGGGUGAAUUAGAUUUUCAAAAAGCAAAUAUGGAUCUUGUGAUCAGGUGUCCACAGAUCGAUUGUCCAUGUAGUGUAUUUCACUGUUUAUCUGAAUUCAUAUCGAAUUAAUUUUAGCACUCCUGAUGCCUUCAUGGAGUGGAUUCUUCCUGUUUUAGCAAGAGUGAGGAACAGGUCACUUCUCUGAUUUAAUUGGCUGUUUUCAUAUCAAUUUUAAUUAUUUUGUGCAAAUUAGGAACAAAAGAUAAUAAUGGAACUUUGCUUAUUUCAUACAGUAACUUCUGCUUUAAGGUGCUGAGUUAUAAUUUUUGGUUAUGUACUAUAACGCUGAUAAACACACUGGCCACUUUAAUUGGAACACCUGGAACCCUGUUUGUUAAUGCAACAUGAUCCUGUCAUGUGACAUCAGUACAGAGCACACUGUGAUGGUGCAUGUGCAGGCUUUAAUGUUCUAAUUGCAAAAAUCAGGGGAAAAAUAUCCAUAGUCUCAUUAUAACAAUUUCAUGGAGCAUCUGGUCAUGUGGAAAUUUCACACAGAAUGCCAAAAUGGUGUAAAAAAAAAAUAAACAGUGAGCAACAGCUCAGACAAACAAUAGCUUGAAUAAACUCUUUAUAACCAUGGUGAACAGAUCUCACAUGAUCUACACUGUUGUGGUCAGUAGGCUUUAACAUCUGAAGACCACAUUAGAUUUCUGUUCUUGUUUCACAGGAGUGAAACCUGUACAGGCUGCGGUAUACAUCUAGUAAAUGUAUGCAUGCGCGCACACACAUACGCUUAAACACUAGACUUAAAAAGGUGUUUAUUUUUUCAUUUUCUAUUGGGGAAAAAUAAAUCCACACACACUACAUUACAAGCCACCAUCAACGUCAGUGUGUGUCUGGACUGGUGGGUGUGUGCACUUGUCAUGCGUGUCUGCAAAAUUAUGAAUGGACAGCGAGCAUGGGGUGUGUGUGUAUGUGUGUGAGAGAGAGCGAGAGAGAGAGACGCAGAGAAAGGGAGGAAUGAAGAGAGAAAAGGCGUAUCACUAGAGGCAUAGGAUUAUAAUCUAGCAGCACAACCUCACUGUCAAAGGUGGGCAAGAAGACGGCCUUGAGCGAGUGAUAAAGAUAAAACGUGUCUCUUCUGCAUUCAGCAUCCUUCUGCACCCUCCUGUGUCUUCCGGUUGCAAUAUUUUCCAUCAUGGAGCAGAAGACAACAUCGCCUCAGAGGCACAUGGUGAAGAGCAGGUCCAAGUCUACAGAAGAAAUCCAGCAAGCCAAGAAGGCCUUCCACAUACCUCAGAAGUCUCUUCCUGGUGGAUCAGAUUUAGACAAAGUGAAGGAGACUCAGGAGGAAUCUGAAACCCCCACAUCAGCCCCAGAAGAUUCAAAGUAAUGUAGCUUGGAACAAUGCAAUCACACACACACACACACACACACACACACACACACACACACACACACACACACAUAUUAAAUAUACACAUCAGAUGCACUUCCCAAUGUCUGUGCAACAACUCUGACUGCUUCACAUAUCAACUAAAUGUAUUUCAGUCAGUUCCAUGUGUCAUUUGAUGCUCAUAUACAGUCGACUCCAAAAUUAUUGGUGCCCUUCAUAACCGUGAGUCCAGUAUGCUCAUGCAUUCAGCAACAUAUUUAGCAUGGUUUAUAAAUGUGUAACUUCUUUCUGCUGUGUCUGUGAAAUUUAUUUCUGGCUCAACAACUAAUCAGUAUAAAGAACUAUAGUAAAUCAGUACUGUAUUCAGUAUAAAGGCAAAUGUGUGCAAUAUGGAAACAGGAAUUGGAUAAUGGCAACUGGGUUUCCCCUUUUUUUUUUUUUUUAAUUUACAGAGGUUUACAUGUUCUGUUAAAGGAUAAUGAAAAACCACUUUUUAGGUUUUCUACUAUUUAGAUUUUUUUAAUUGAAGAUUAAUGCCUUACCAAAUGGUCUAAGGCACUUGGAAAACCCUAUCAUCACUGUAUUGAUUUGCUUGUUUGUUUUCAGUUUUCAGUUUUUUAAAGUGGGAAAUGAAUGUAAUUUUUGCUCAUGACAGGAAACAAUAUUUGUGCUUCAUAGCUCAAGAGUUCUCAAUUUAAUAUCAAACUUUUCGAACACUUAUUUUCUGUGCGCAUGGGAUUCUGUGGAUGCAUGAGAGGUUUCCAAUUUCAUUCCACUUUCAAAAAACAUCCCAGCAGAUGUCUAAAAUGAAAAAAACAAAUAAAUUAAUAAAUUAUUCAUCAUUUAAAUAAAAAGGCAGAUAAUUCUGGAGUUGACUGACAUUAAAUGCUUUGCCAUCAUAACUCAUAUUUAGGCAUGGUCACUAUAGAUGUUGCGAUGUUGAGUGUAUUAUAUUUAUGGGUUUGAGGAGGUGGUGUUACUUUAUAAAGAUGCUCUCUGAUGUACUGUUCAAAAUAAACCUGUGAAACCCA